Cebus imitator (Panamanian white-faced capuchin) is the source of this 98-nucleotide unclassified non-coding RNA. It matches the Rfam family "Y RNA". Rfam says of the family: Y RNAs are components of the Ro ribonucleoprotein particle (Ro RNP), in association with Ro60 and La proteins. The Y RNAs and Ro60 and La proteins are well conserved, but the function of the Ro RNP is not known. The record is from Ensembl. NCBI's taxonomy places the organism in Eukaryota, Metazoa, Chordata, Mammalia, Primates, Cebidae.
UGCCGGUUCUGAUGGUAGUGGGUUAUCAGAACGUAUUAACAUUUAUUGUUACUAAAGUUGGCAUACAGUCCCCCACUGCUAAAUUUGACUGCUAAAAA